CAUGUAGGCGGUUUUGUAAGCCUGGUGUGAAAUCCUGCAGCUUAACUGUAGAAUUGCAUCGGGUACUGCGAGACUUGAAUCACGGAGGGGAAACUAGAAUUCCAGGUGUAGGGGUGGAAUCUGUAGAUAUCUGGAAGAAUACCGGUGGCGAAGGCGGGUUUCUAGCCGAUGAUUGACGCUGAGGUGCGAAAGUGCGGGGAGCAAACA
Molecule: ribosomal RNA, 207 nt
Filed under: uncultured bacterium
Lineage: Bacteria
Description: partial 16S ribosomal RNA
Rfam family: Bacterial small subunit ribosomal RNA
Source: RNAcentral